Chrysemys picta bellii (western painted turtle) is the source of this 468-nucleotide non-coding RNA. Lineage: Eukaryota; Metazoa; Chordata; Testudines; Emydidae. The record is from RefSeq and is a predicted model, not a curated record.
UGGUGAUUGUCUCCUUUGUUUUAGCCUAUUGGUGCUCUAAACCCAAAGAGAGCAGCAUUCUUCGCAGAGCGAUAUGAAUCAUGGGAAGAUGAUCAGGUUCCAAAGUUUCACUAUGGCACUCAUUACUCAACUGCAAGUUUUGCACUCACUUGGUUGUUGAGAAUUGAGCCCUUUACAACAUUUUUCCUACAUGUACAAGGCGGGAAGUUUGACCAUGCAGAUAGGACUUUUUCAUCAAUUUCAAGAGCAUGGCGCAACAGCCAGCGUGACACGUCUGAUAUAAAGGAGCUGAUUCCUGAAUUUUAUUAUCUCCCAGAGAUGUUUGUCAACCUCAACAAUUACAAUCUUGGUGUGAUGGAUGAUGGAACAGUGGUAUCUGAUGUUGAACUUCCACCAUGGGCCAAAACCCCAGAAGAAUUUGUUCGCAUAAACAGGCUGGUAAGAUGGCUAUCAUCUUUUGUCAGUUGA